AACAUUUUAAAGACAUUUAUAUUUGUAAUUGGACUGAAAUAUCAUCUAGCUCUUGUGUACAAAUCUAUUCUGAAAAUUUCGUGUGUCUAUUUUAUCUGAUCUCAGAAACAUUAGUUGGACAGUAGUGUGGAUAGACAAACCGAAUGAUUACGCCUCUGUUUAAAAGAAAAUGCUUAAAAAAUGAUAAAAGGGAAAAGGGGCAAAAUGUUUCCCAGUUUACGGAAAUCCUCAGCCUACAUCUGCCCUUGGGGUUUGGGGUUGGGGGGCGCCGAUUGCAUGGUUUGCCUCGGGGACCUAGUCUAGGGCUGCCCCUGCAUUCUGAUGUAUGACCGAGGUAACAGACAAUGCUGUCUGUCUACGUUAUAUUUCCCUGGUAGUGCCUAGUUACAAGGGAACUAUCCACAGGCACCCCCCUCCCUUCCCACAAACACACUGCUCCCAGGUUACAUUGGAUUUUUUAAAAAAGAGACAAACUCAUGAUUUUUGGGGCUCUGAUUCCUGAAUGUUCAGGGUGUCCUAGGUCUUGGUCUGAUUUCCAGGCAGGCUUUAGACCUCAGCCACACUAGAGUCAGACCAGAGUCACUGCUGGCUCUGGCAGGGGGUGAGUGCAGAUGGACCAAUAGGAUCAGUCUCUGCCUAUCUGUCCCUGGGGGCUGCCGGAAGAGUCCAGAGCAGCUCGUUCUUCAGGUGUGGCCACUAGAGGGCUCCGGCUGUUGCUAAGGGAGAGGGGUUUACACUGCAAUUUGGGGCAAUCCCUCAAAAUGGCCCCCUUGAUUCUGCUCUUUUUCUAGCAUUUGGCUCAGAGAUGCUGUUACUGGGAGGGUCUGAAGAGCUUGGAGGGAACCGGGGUGUGACAUGGACCGAAGUCCCUUCCGUAACCUCCCCCAUCGCCCCGACAGGCUGAGGAAUCACGUCCACAUUUCGCUCCAGAUUGGCUCAUCUUCCAGGCUGUGAUGGAGCCAGCUCAGAUGCCGGUGACCUUCGAGGAGGUGGCUGUGUAUUUCACCCAGGGGCAGGGGGCUCUGCUGGAUCCCGCUCAGAGAGCCCUCUACAGGGACGUCAUGCAGCAGAACUACGAGAUUGUGACCUCGCUGGGUAAGGGAUUCCCGUCCCCUCGGUUAUUAGAAGCCGUUGAGUUUGUAUGUAUGAAUCUGGUCAGGUUCUUCCCUGAUCAGUUAGAUCUGAGGGGAAUGUUUUGCAUAAUGAACAGUUGCCUUGUGAGAGAGACUUCCAUCUCCGUGCCCUCUCCAGUGAGACACGGUGUCAAAACUUAAUGGACAUGUUAGCUCAUCCCCACCCCUCUGGCUUUAAAAGGGACAGAAUUCAUUCGUUGUCCUCUCUGUAUUGACUCCCAUACACACCAAAUCCUUAUUUAUCUCCCUUCUUGAGAAUAGCUCCAGCCAUUGGGAAGGCUUAGAAAUAGGCAGAGGUUUCACGCGAGAGCUGUGUGUGAGUCAGCAAUGCCCCUAGGCUGCGCAGAUCCUGGGAACACCUAAUGAGAGUGUAAAAAUUCCCCUCACCUCCCCAGAGGGCUGCCUCUCCCAAGAGGGCUCAGCGACCAUGUUCCUGUCCUCUUGGGUUCCAUGUUCCCCAGCAGAGCACAGGGACAUGUUCCGCUCACACAAUGUCCUUUGUGACAGAUGCACUCUCAAUCCUCCAUGCACCCUGAUCUGGUUUGACUUCCACCCCCUGCGCAGGAUUCCCCAUUCCCAAACCUGAGCUGAUCUCCCGCCUGGAACGAGGGGAAGAGCCGUGGGUCCCAGAUCUCCAGGCCUGUGAGGAAAGAGAGAGCCUGAGAGGCACCCACACAGCAGGUGCUGAGCGAGGGAGUGAGAAGGAGGAAGGGGAUCAUCAUGAGGAAGUCCCUGGGAAAGUGGAACCACAAAGGACAUUUGUGGGAAGAGAUGAAGGGAAUUUUUCCCAGUGCUUCGAACAGGAAGAAGCCUGGGGAAA
Long non-coding RNA from Trachemys scripta elegans, 1953 nucleotides. RefSeq lists it as uncharacterized. The transcript is spliced from 3 exons. The record is from RefSeq and is a predicted model, not a curated record. NCBI's taxonomy places the organism in Eukaryota, Metazoa, Chordata, Testudines, Emydidae.